This 441-nucleotide ribosomal RNA is filed under the name uncultured bacterium. Its description in RNAcentral is "bacterial SSU rRNA". It matches the Rfam family "Bacterial small subunit ribosomal RNA", at positions 1033 to 1482 of the family's 1533-position model. The record is from RNAcentral.
CACAGUUCUGCAUGCCUUUCGUCAGCUCGUGUCGUGAGAUGUUGGGUUAAGUCCCGCAACGAGCGCAACCCUUGUCUCUAGUUGCUACGAAAGGCACUCUAGAGAGACUGCCGGUGACAAACCGGAGGAAGGUGGGGAUGACGUCAAGUCCUCAUGGCCCUUAUGGGUAGGGCUUCACACGUCAUACAAUGGUGCAUACAGAGGGUUGCCAAGCCGCGAGGUGGAGCUAAUCCCAGAAAAUGCAUCGUAGUCCGGAUCGUAGUCUGCAACUCGACUACGUGAAGCUGGAAUCGCUAGUAAUCGCGGAUCAGCAUGCCGCGGUGAAUACGUUCCCGGGUCUUGUACACACCGCCCGUCACACCAUGGGAGUGGGCUUUACCAGAAGUAGUUAGCCUAACCGCAAGGAGGGCGAUUACCACGGUAGGGUUCAUGACUGGGGUC